This 404-nucleotide ribosomal RNA is filed under the name Theileria mutans. Its description in RNAcentral is "partial 18S ribosomal RNA". It matches the Rfam family "Eukaryotic small subunit ribosomal RNA", at positions 485 to 932 of the family's 1831-position model. Lineage: Eukaryota; Apicomplexa; Aconoidasida; Piroplasmida; Theileriidae. The record is from RNAcentral.
AGCGGGCCUCACGGCCUUGUAAUUGGGAUGAAGGGAACCUAAACCCCUUCCAGAGUAUCAAUUGGAGGGCACCUCUGGUGCCAGCAGCCGCGGUAAUUCCAGCUCCAAUAGCGUAUAUUAAAAUUGUUGCAGUUAAAAAGCUCGUAGUUGAAUUUCUGCCGCAUCGCGGAGGCCCCCCCGGGACCAGGGGUGUUUUUUAUUUCAGACUCGCUUGCUUCUCCGACCGUUUACUUUGAUUUGAUAAGAGAGCUCAGCUCAGGCCCUUGCCUUGCCUACUUUAGUUUGGAAUGAAAAAGUAGGACUUUACUUUUAUUUUAUUUUGUUGGCGCCAAAGUAACUGGGUAAUGGGAACAGGGGGGGGCAGUCGUAUUUAACUGUUAGAGGUGAAAUUCUAAGAUCUUAGA